RNAcentral lists this long non-coding RNA (306 nucleotides) under Homo sapiens (human). RNAcentral describes it as "HSALNT0272895". Lineage: Eukaryota; Metazoa; Chordata; Mammalia; Primates; Hominidae. The record is from RNAcentral.
UUCGCAUAUCCUUGAAGUGUCUGGGGUGGGAAAAGAUGCUGGGUGGAGUUUAUGGCAAAUCCCAAGAGGAAAGUCACAACAUAGAUACGAGAGUUCUGGGGUCAGGCGGGGCCAUCUGCAGCAGAUAAUUGUACUCUGUUUGAAAAAGCAGCUCCUGGGACGCUAUGGGGUCCCGGCAGAGACAGAGCUUCUGACGAGGGACGCGAGGUGAUGGUGCUGCCCAGAAGUGACCAUCAUGAGGCCUGAGACCCAGUAGGUCCUGAGAUGGGGUCAGAGGGUGCAUGUUGGCCACAUGCAGGUGGCUCG